This 459-nucleotide ribosomal RNA is filed under the name uncultured bacterium. RNAcentral describes it as "partial 16S ribosomal RNA". It matches the Rfam family "Bacterial small subunit ribosomal RNA", at positions 338 to 795 of the family's 1533-position model. The record is from RNAcentral.
CCUACGGGAGGCAGCAGUGAGGAAUAUUGGUCAAUGGGCGCGAGCCUGAACCAGCCAAGUCGCGUGAGGGACGACGGUCCUAUGGAUUGUAAACCUCUUUUGUCGGGGAGCAAAAGACGACACGCGUGGCGUUCCGAGAGUACCCUAAGAAAAAGCAUCGGCUAACUCCGUGCCAGCAACCGGGGCAAUCCGGAGGAUGCGAGCGUUAUCCGGAUUGAUUGGUGUGAAGGGGGGAGCAGGCGGAAGAUCAAGUCAGCGGUAAAAUUGAGAGGCUCAACCUCUUCGAGCCGUUGAAACUGGUUUUCUAGAGUGAGCGAGAAGUAUGCGGAAUGCGUGGUGUAGCAGUGAAAUGCAUAGAUAUCAAGCAGAACUCCGAUUGCGAAGGCAGCAUACCGGCGCUCAACUGACGCUCAUGCACGAAAGUGUGGGUAUCGAACAGGAUUAGAUACCCGUGUAGUC